AAGGCCUUCGGGUUGUAAAGCACUUUAAGCAGGGAGAAAAAGUUAUAGGUUAAUACCCUACGACCUUGAUGUUACCUGCAGAAUAAGCACCGGCUAAUUCCGUGCCAGCAGCCGCGGUAAUACGGAAGGUGCAAGCGUUAAUCGGAAUUACUGGGCGUAAAGCGCGCGUAGGUGGUUUGUUAAGUUGGAUGUGAAAGCCCUGGGCUCAACCUAGGAACUGCAUCCAAAACUAACUCACUAGAGUACGAUAGAGGGAGGUAGAAUUCAUAGUGUAGCGGUGGAAUGCGUAGAUAUUAUGAAGAAUACCAGUGGCGAAGGCGGCCUCCUGGAUCUGUACUGACACUGAGGUGCGAAAGCGUGUGUAGCGAACAGGAUUAGAUACCCCUGGUAGUCCACGCCGUAAACGAUGACAACUAGCUGUUGGGAGACUAUGUCUUUCAGUG
Molecule: ribosomal RNA, 443 nt
Filed under: uncultured SAR86 cluster bacterium
Lineage: Bacteria; Pseudomonadati; Pseudomonadota; Gammaproteobacteria
Description: bacterial SSU rRNA
Rfam family: Bacterial small subunit ribosomal RNA
Source: RNAcentral